Molecule: ribosomal RNA, 440 nt
Filed under: uncultured bacterium
Lineage: Bacteria
Description: partial 16S ribosomal RNA
Rfam family: Bacterial small subunit ribosomal RNA
Source: RNAcentral
CUACGGGUUGCUCCAGCAGGGAAUCUUGCGCAAUGGGCGAAAGCCUGACGCAGCAACGCCGCGUGGGGGAUGAAGGCCUUCGGGUUGUAAACCCCUUUCAGGAGGGAAGAAAUUGACGGUACCUCCAGAAGAAGCACCGGCCAACUACGUGCCAGCAGCCGCGGUAAUACGUAGGGUGCGAGCGUUAUCCGGAAUCAUUGGGCGUAAAGAGCUCGUAGGCGGUUCAGCAAGUCGGCUGUGAAAGUCCGAGGCUCAACCUCGGAAUUGCAGUCGAUACUGCUGUGACUCGAGUCCGGUAGAGGAGAAUGGAAUUCCCGGUGUAGCGGUGAAAUGCGCAGAUAUCGGGAGGAACACCAGUAGCGAAGGCGGUUCUCUGGGCCGGCACUGACGCUGAGGAGCGAAAGCGUGGGGAGCAAACAGGAUUAGAUACCCCCGUAGUC